UUUUUUUUUUUUUUUUUUAGGCAAAGAAUGCAAAGCUUACCCAGGCAGCAAGAGCUGACGUGAUGAAAUGUUUGAAGACUACCCUUAAACAAAAAAAAGCCUCUGACAUCCACACAAGAUACUUCUGACGAGACAAACAUUGACAUGUUUGAAAAGAAAAGUUUACAUUAUAUAUGUUUUCUAACUUUUUAUCUUUAUUUUUUAUGAUUUUUCUUUGAAGGCAACUCAAAGUUUCCUCUCUGUUUUUAAGGAUGAUGACGAUAAUGUUGGUGUGUCACAUUCAAAAUUCUGUGGUCCACUUGCUGCAUCAACUCACAGAGAGUUGUUUGAUGAAGAUGAAGAAGAAAGCCUUCUAGGUUGUCACCAGCCAGAGAAAGUCAUGGUAGAAAUUGAUAAUGAUGCCAUAAUUACAUCCCUCCGUGAACUGCCUGAGUCGGUCAAGUCUGUCAAGGAGUGCAUGGAAUAGCAAGCUUUCAGAGCAGCACUCCAUCAUCUGUGAUUUCAAUGUCGGGAGCAUCAACUUCAUCAUCUGUACCAGAUGACGAGGUUGAAAUGCAGUCCUUGGCCAAGUCUAAUGUCAUGGUUCCCCAAAAAAACCUACCAAAGACUCAACCGAACCAGGAUGAGCAUCUUUGCGCAGGAGCUGGCCAUGUUGGUCUUUACCAAAGAAACCUUGAGCGAAUCCACCCUUACCGGAAAGUCUUAUGUGGAGAAGGUGCAUGCUAUAACAGGCAAGCCAAUAAAAAUGGAUGUGUAUUGUUCCAGCAAGUUUACCAGUCAACAACUUUUCUUAACUGAGGUU
Molecule: long non-coding RNA, 802 nt
Organism: Astyanax mexicanus (Mexican tetra)
Lineage: Eukaryota; Metazoa; Chordata; Actinopteri; Characiformes; Acestrorhamphidae
Exons: 4
Source: RefSeq, a predicted model, not a curated record